UUCCAUCCCAGCAGUGCUACAGAAGGAGGGAAACAAACGCUCACUUUGAAUUAGUAUCACAAAGCUCUUUUCAGACCUAUUUCUAAAUAGCACAAGGACCGCUAAGUCACAAAAAGAUCUUAAAGCCUAGGUGCUAGGCAAAGGCACAUGCCUUUGAGCAGUGCAAAAGAAAUGAAAUUUGUUAUAAAUUUUUUUAAAAAAAAAUUACAUAUCAUAAGACCUCUGAUCUGUAGUCAAUGCUCCUUCUCGACUUAAAAAGCAUGUGUUUCAUGUAUGCUCUAUUAAAAGAAAGAACAAAGAAAGAGGACCAAGAGAGAGAGGAGAGUGGUUAAAUGGGACUGUGGAAGCCUAUUGUCUUCUCCUCCUAUCUUCUCUUCCUUUUUUCUUCCUCUUUUUUGGUGUUAUUUUCAAUUGAAAAUGUUGCAGUACCUAUCUAGUUAGUAUUCAUUUUUGUUUUGUUGCUUUCAAUUUAAUUAGGUGUAUUCGAAUACCCCAUAAACUCGUACCCAACAAAAAAUUGAUAGAUUAAAUAGCAUGAGUUAUAGGAAAAAUAAACUGGGGCAGUCAAAAUAUAAAGAGGCAUGCCUUGUUGCACCUUGCACCUAGAAAAAUAUAUGCCUAGGCAACAAGGCGCACAGCCCAGACACACCUUUAGUAAAUAUACUUUCAGGCAAAACAAGGCGGUUGAAAGACAAAUAUGGUCUAAAUAUAAGUAGAAUGUACUCUUGGAACCAUUCCCAGUUUUGUAUCUCAAUAACAUUUGAGGCCAACAGAAAACCUAUGUGGCCAAGAAAUAAAUGCAAAAUAACUACAUUGUGAACAAAAUUGAAUUAC
RNAcentral lists this unclassified non-coding RNA (834 nucleotides) under Hevea brasiliensis (rubber tree). Lineage: Eukaryota; Viridiplantae; Streptophyta; Magnoliopsida; Malpighiales; Euphorbiaceae. The record is from RNAcentral.